RNAcentral lists this ribosomal RNA (260 nucleotides) under uncultured bacterium. Its description in RNAcentral is "partial 16S ribosomal RNA". It matches the Rfam family "Bacterial small subunit ribosomal RNA", at positions 793 to 1055 of the family's 1533-position model. The record is from RNAcentral.
GUCCACGCUGUAAACGAUGGGCACUAGGUGUGGGGGUGUCGACUCCCCCGUGCCGAAGCUAACGCAUUAAGUGCCCCGCCUGGGGAGUACGGCCGCAAGGCUAAAACUCAAAGGAAUUGACGGGGCCCGCACAAGCAGCGGAGCAUGUGGUUUAAUUCGACGCAACGCGAAGAACCUUACCUGGGCUUGACAUGUGAGUGACAACCGUGGAAACACGGUCUCCCUUCGGGGCACUUUCACAGGUGGUGCAUGGCUGUCGU